UUCCGCAAUGGACGAAAGUCUGACGGAGCAACGCCGCGUGAGUGACGAAGGCCUUCGGGUUGUAAAGCUCUGUUGUCGGGGAAGAACACCUUCCAUGUGAAUAAUGUGGAGGGAUGACGGUACCCGACGAGGAAGCCACGGCUAACUACGUGCCAGCAGCCGCGGUAAUACGUAGGUGGCAAGCGUUGUCCGGAUUUACUGGGCGUAAAGGGAGCGUAGGCGGACUUUUAAGUGAGAUGUGAAAUACCCGGGCUCAACCUGGGUGCUGCAUUUCAAACUGGAAGUCUAGAGUGCAGGAGAGGAGAGUGGAAUUCCUAGUGUAGCGGUGAAAUGCGUAGAGAUUAGGAAGAACACCAGUGGCGAAGGCGACUCUCUGGACUGUAACUGACGCUGAGGCGCGAAAGUGUGGGGAGCAAACAGG
RNAcentral lists this ribosomal RNA (421 nucleotides) under uncultured prokaryote. Its description in RNAcentral is "bacterial SSU rRNA". It matches the Rfam family "Bacterial small subunit ribosomal RNA", at positions 364 to 776 of the family's 1533-position model. The record is from RNAcentral.